Molecule: ribosomal RNA, 895 nt
Filed under: uncultured bacterium
Lineage: Bacteria
Description: bacterial SSU rRNA
Rfam family: Bacterial small subunit ribosomal RNA
Source: RNAcentral
AUGUUAGGCUUGGCGGCAGGCCUAACACAUGCAAGUCGAGCGGUAGAGAGAAGCUUGCUUCUCUUGAGAGCGGCGGACGGGUGAGUAAUGCCUAGGAAUCUGCCUGGUAGUGGGGGAUAACGUUCGGAAACGAACGCUAAUACCGCAUACGUCCUACGGGAGAAAGCAGGGGACCUUCGGGCCUUGCGCUAUCAGAUGAGCCUAGGUCGGAUUAGCUAGUUGGUGAGGUAAUGGCUCACCAAGGCGACGAUCCGUAACUGGUCUGAGAGGAUGAUCAGUCACACUGGAACUGAGACACGGUCCAGACUCCUACGGGAGGCAGCAGUGGGGAAUAUUGGACAAUGGGCGAAAGCCUGAUCCAGCCAUGCCGCGUGUGUGAAGAAGGUCUUCGGAUUGUAAAGCACUUUAAGUUGGGAGGAAGGGCAUUAACCUAAUACGUUAGUGUUUUGACGUUACCGACAGAAUAAGCACCGGCUAACUCUGUGCCAGCAGCCGCGGUAAUACAGAGGGUGCAAGCGUUAAUCGGAAUUACUGGGCGUAAAGCGCGCGUAGGUGGUUUGUUAAGUUGGAUGUGAAAUCCCCGGGCUCAACCUGGGAACUGCAUUCAAAACUGACUGACUAGAGUAUGGUAGAGGGUGGUGGAAUUUCCUGUGUAGCGGUGAAAUGCGUAGAUAUAGGAAGGAACACCAGUGGCGAAGGCGACCACCUGGACUAAUACUGACACUGAGGUGCGAAAGCGUGGGGAGCAAACAGGAUUAGAUACCCUGGUAGUCCACGCCGUAAACGAUGUCAACUAGCCGUUGGAAGCCUUGAGCUUUUAGUGGCGCAGCUAACGCAUUAAGUUGACCGCCUGGGGGAGUACGGCCGCAAGGUUAAAACUCAAAUGAAUUGACGG